RNAcentral lists this long non-coding RNA (977 nucleotides) under Olea europaea (common olive). RNAcentral describes it as "long non-coding RNA (OEUR_LNC008617)". Lineage: Eukaryota; Viridiplantae; Streptophyta; Magnoliopsida; Lamiales; Oleaceae. The record is from RNAcentral.
GACUUUUCGACGUUGAGCGAAAAAGGGAAUUGAUACACACUCCAUAGGAGCUUACACACAUAAAGGCGAAAGGUAAGUGAAAAUCCAUUUGCAACUACGAUGCAAGAACCUAGUAUAUGUGACAUAGUAAUGUUGAAAUAUCUACAUAACUUUCAUAAGAGGCUUAUAGCACAUCAUAUGGUGGUUACGAUCAUUGAGUAUGAGAUUGCGUAACCUAUUGACAUCGAUUUUCAUUUAUGAGCAUUUUCAUAUGCAUGCACGACAUGUAACAUGGUUGAAAAUACUGCAUGCAAAAUAUGAUUUCAAAGUGAGUUUCAGUAUAAAUGUUUUAUUGACCACUACUAGGGCACCGAGGCAUGUGAGGCAUGCUUAUGUGAUAUGUUUGGCAUUGUGGGUGUUACUUCCUGGGUGAUUGCAAAGGUAGAUAGGGGAUGGGCAUUUGGUGAUCACGGGAGGGCGGACCACUCGACUAUGCCCUUGUUAUGAUCAUUGGCGCUGUCGGGUGGGAGACUUCUUGGGUGAUAAUAGGGGUAGUCAGGGGAUGGGCCUCUAGUGGUCACGAGAGGAUGGUCCACUCGCCGGUGUCGAUUUCAUAUUGGCCACUUGAUUAUUGAUAUUGAUAUUAUGCAGAGCUCUAUCCGGUGCAUAGUAGGUGGGUCAAGGGCCCAAUGAAAUGAAAGAUUUCAAGUGAAAUGAUUUCUAGUCGACUUUGACGAAUAUUGAAAUAUGAUACUUUUUAUCGUGAUAUUUAAAGUAAAUGGCAUGGUGUCAUAUGUUGUUAUUACUCAUGUUCAGGACAUGCAUGAUUUUGCUUACUAAGCAUUGGCUUAUGUAGUUCUUGCAUUGUAGGUGAACACGGAACUACAUAGAGAGCAUGGCUAGCUGUGGAGCUCCUACAGGAUUCCAGAGUUCGAUGUACAUGGAUGACGACCUGUAGGGUUAUUUUGUAGGCUACCAUCUGUUGGGUUAUAUUUUGG